AUGGAGUUUAAAGAAUCCAGUUUUUACUGUUAUUUUAUCGUUACACUUCAUGGCAGUCAAGUGUUGGACAUCCAGUUUUUGGAUCUGGGACUUCCUGCUUCUCUGGAGGUCAGCGAGCUCAGGGAGAUCCCACCAAUCUACCUCAGAGAGCUCCUCACCAUACCACCUCAGGCUAUAAAGUGCCUCCUGGAGGGUCUGAAUGCAGACGGGGAUGUUUGGCCUCCUGAAGCCGUUCUGUGGUUGAGAGAGACAGUCCACAACAAAGUCCCCAGUUGCAUGAAGAUAGUCAAGCUUGAUGAGACCAGGACUGUGCACGUCUACCUCUUCAGUGGAAAUGGAGCUCAUGACCUUCAGAGCAGCAUUAACCACCAGCUAGCCUCAUGUCCAUUCUGGCAACAUGAUGCCUACUUCAGCAAGAUCGCCAGGGUUUCUGAACCUAUCGUGCCAGAGGCAGGGGACAGCCUCAAUACAACUCGCACGCAGUCAAAGGCCCUCACAUUGCCCCCUCAGAUGGACUUACCACUGGUCGGGCAAAACAUGGAUGUGUUUGUGUCGGUUGCAUGUCACCCUGGGCACUUUGUGCUGCAGCCGUGGCAGGAACUGUACAAGCUAGUAGUCCUGAUGGGAGAGAUGAUCCUGUACUACAACAAACAGGAAGUAACCCAAAUCAACCUCCAGAAAAAUCACGUCUACGCUGCCAAGAUUGACAACAAUUGGCAUCGUGUUUUGGUAAAGAGCGUCCUGACCAAUGGCUUAGUGUCUGUGUAUGAACUGGAUUAUGGAAAUACGAGUUGAUAAACUAUUCCCAGUUCCAACCACUCAUCGAUGAGUUCAGGCAGCUGCCAUUCCAGGGCAUUUUUGCUCAGCUGGCUGGUGUCAAGCAAGGGGUCUGGUGUGAGGAAGCUUCCAUGGUGUUCCGGAACCAUGUUGAGAAAAAGCCGUUGGUGGCCCAGAUUGAGUCGAUUGAGGAGGGGGAGUGGCCCUGGGAGCGCAAAAUCUCUGUCUACCUGGUGGACACCACACAAGAGGACAAUGACAUCUGGAUCCACAACAUUAUGGUGGAGUUUUCAGAUGAGAUCAGCAGUGCUGCUUGAGACUGUUACAACUACCCUUUCCCAGAAACAUGCUGAAAACUUGCGCCUAAAAAAAAUCUGGAUCUAGAAUUCAAAAGCAUUGACUCCAUGUAUGUUUGGUCAGCUCAUUUUAUUUACACGUUCCCGAAUAGUUUUAGUUAUCGUUCCGAGUGCCAUGGGAAAGGGAUAUCUUUCUUCCUGUUUUUGCUGUUGUGAUAAAUAAUAAUAUUAUACCAUUGCCAAAUUAACUCGUUGUGACCUGAACCGCUUCCAUUUACUGUGUCUUUACCAUAGGGCCAUUUGUCUUAGGAGUAUUUUGAUUUAUUUAUGUUGGUUUUGCGUGAGACACUACUGCUUUGUAUUGUUUACUCUUGAUUUUGCACUUUGAUUUGUUUGCUGUGGUCUUAUUGUGUGUUUUCUGAAAGGAAAAUGGCCUAUUGUUAAAGAACAUUUGUACUUAGGUUCUCAUGUUUGUUUAAUUAGUUAAUAUUUGGUUCGAACCAUUAAACCAGAAGACAACAACCCGA
Pimephales promelas (fathead minnow) is the source of this 1600-nucleotide non-coding RNA. The record is from RefSeq and is a predicted model, not a curated record. Lineage: Eukaryota; Metazoa; Chordata; Actinopteri; Cypriniformes; Leuciscidae.